RNAcentral lists this ribosomal RNA (279 nucleotides) under uncultured bacterium. RNAcentral describes it as "partial 16S ribosomal RNA". It matches the Rfam family "Bacterial small subunit ribosomal RNA", at positions 506 to 784 of the family's 1533-position model. The record is from RNAcentral.
UGCCAGCAGCCGCGGUAAUACGGAGGGGGUUAGCGUUGUUCGGAAUUACUGGGCGUAAAGCGCGCGUAGGCGGCUUUUUAAGUCAGAUGUGAAAGUCCACGGCUCAACCGUGGAAGUGCAUUUGAAACUGGGAGGCUUGAGUAUUGGAGGGGGUGGUGGAAUUCCCGGUGUAGAGGUGAAAUUCGUAGAUAUUCGGAGGAACACCAGAGGCGAAGGCGGCUCACUGGACCGAUACUGACGCUGAGGAGCGAAAGCGUGGGGAGCAAACAGGAUUAGAUA